GAAAUGUAUCGGUGUCUUCAAGCCAGGCCGACGGUGUGCUAUGCGUACUUGAGUUUGAGGUCUCGGGUGAGCUCGUUCUGAGUCUGUUCUAGCUCCUGCCGCUCGUUGAUGUGUGCCUCCUGGAUGUCGUGGAUUUCUGCCUUCACGGCCUGCAGCUUGGCAAACAGCUGGAGGACAGAGAAGGAGACAGGUUCAUUCACCAUGAUGGGAAACGUUUUUGUUUUUAAUAUUCAGCCUUGUUAAAUACUUCAGCCUUAAAAAUGUAAUAUCCAAACAAAGCCUAUGGGGUAUUCUCGCCUGAUUUGAAAUACCACCUGCCUUAUACACUUGCAAAGUAUUUAUCAGCAGAUACAUAAAGCCUCACAAGUUUUGAGCACCAGGCUUUAAAACUUAAUAGCCCUGCGGUACCAUUACAAUUUUCAACAUAUAUUGAUUGUUGACAGCUGAAAGAAGCAGGAUCAAAGCUUGGAGCUGCUACCUUCUUCAGUUUCUUGGUUUUGAUGUCGACCUCCUGCUGCAGCGAACUGUACGUCUCCUUCAGCUCCAGAGUCUCCUCGUCGCGACUCUCCAUCUGCUGCUGCAUCUCCCGCUCUCGCCGUUUCUGGGAACCAACAAACACACACACGUUCAUCAGUUAGGCUUGGUAGUGUCAGGUAAAUGUUCAGCAUCAAGUGGAAUGCCCUACAGGGAACACAAUGCAAGACGGGGGUCUGAUUAUAAGGACUACAGACACACAAUGGAAGGGCGACAGCGGACCACCACCUUGACCGAUUCCGCGCUCUUGCUCUUGGACAUGUUGCAAAGCGGCUGCCAACCCUACACGGCCUGGCACUUGUAGGAUCUGUCUUCCAAAUGUACCUUCAGGUUCGGUUCACCAAAACAAGGUCCCACAUCACAAUCUGUUAGGGAAAACACAUUCAAUGCUUAAAACAGACCUGCAAGGAACCACUCAUGGUGACUCACAACCUUAACGGUAAACGCAUCACACACAUUUUUACAGUCAUGCUGGAAGAAUCAAUAAAGCUCAAUGUCAAAGCUAUUGAUUGCUAAUUUAGCUAGUUAGCUACCCUGACACAUGUACUGCAGCUCAGUAAUCAUUGGUCUUGACAAUUCCUUGUACCUGGAAACACAAGCGUAAUUAAACCCUAAUCAUAUUUUAUCCAGAUGUUACAUCACACCCGUGAAAUGAUUAUGUUAGAGUUUAUAUGGCCCACAUUUAACACAUUUUCACAAUGUUACUCCAGGUGGGAGAAGUACUAAGAUCUUGUACUUAAGUAAAAGCAGAAGUAGCAGAGCGUAGGAAUACUAUUGUUGAUCAUUAAAGUGUUCUCAGAGCUGGUAAAGGUGCAGCUAGUUUGAAUGGCUUUGUAUACUGCAGGGUAGCUGCUGGAUUUACUCCAGGUGAACUAAAGUCUGAUUUAAGGCUGAUCAUAUUUACCAGCCUUAAUCCAGAUCUGUAAAGUAACUAACGGGAUUAAAUACAUGUAGUGGAGUACAGCACUCACCUCUGAAUUGUAGUGGAAGUACAGUCAACCUACUGAGUUACAUGACACCACUGCUUAAGUGGCAUAUUAAUACACCGGGGAGCCACUACCCCGGUUUAGCUGACUGAUUAAAUGUAGCCCGUUAACCGGUAGGUAUAAACUUCCCUGUUAGCUCGACCUGUUUGGAAUUCCAGGCUAUAAAAUGACAACACUGUGUCCGCUGUAGCAGGUUAAUAACCCGUGGACUUAACAUAGCUGCUCAAACUAUGUUAGCAAUAAUAUUUUUUAACGAAGCGUUCGGCAGAGCUAACCGCCGUUAGCUUAUGCGAAAUGCAGCCCAUAACGAGACCACAAAACCGGCCUAGCAACGACAAACACUGGUAACCGAAGCCACAGGAGUGGUAGCAUUACCUGGCUAUCGCUAGCAGGAAGGGCAUUAAUCCAUAAAUUAAAUCGCCAUUCAACAAUGAAAAAAUCACAUUGGACACAUUACACCUUUGCCAUACAAACACAGCGUUUUAGAGAACACACAAAUAUGUCGAUAAAGACUUACCAGCGUCAGGCUAAUCAGAACUCCCAGUCAGCCGUUAGCCGUUGCUCAUCCCCACAGCGGUCCCGGUUACGCAGUUGCCAGAUUCGAACACAUAUCCUGCUAAAAGGGUACGUGUGGUGAAAUCACAUUAACCCGUAUUUAAAAAAUGCCUCAGAAGUGAGCAUGUGUUUAGUGUUAAGCACAUAGUCACAAAAAACGUUAAACGUCUACUGUGAAUAACAAGACGGCAAGCACAACACUAGCAUUAUGACGAAUACAGAUGCAGGGUUUCCUGGAUUAACUGGCAACCAAGUCUCAGUAUAGCUUAGUAUAUCAGCUGAUUCCACUGUACUCACAGCUAAGCUUGCACUCACGGAUGUAAACAGAGGCGGUUGGUUCUUUAAAAAAAAAUAGCGUUCAUCACUUUAAUGGUGGACAACAUUAUAUAAAACAUUCGACUUAAAAAUCAUUGCAUUCACUGCUUUCACACAGAGGAACACAAUUAGCUUGCCACACAUUCCACAACCACAUUUAAUCAAUUUAACCUGUGCAAAUCUACUCUUUUGUCCCUAAUACAAUUAUUCACAUUCAAUGAAUAGCAAUACUGUUCAGUCAACAUUCAGUACAGGCUUUCAAACUAUUCAUCAGUUUUUCGGUCCUGGUAAAUUGAGAUGUGGAAAAACGGUCUCCUUUUCCCUUCCUAUAAUUAGUAUGUACAGGAGGAUCAGUUACUGCACUCUCCUUGGAAUGGAGGGCAGAGAGGAAAGGAAAGAGCAAGCAGUGAAAGACAUGGAGGGGUGGAAAGACGGGGAAAGAGAAGAGGGAGGGAGAACAUGAUCACUGGCACUGUCAUCUUUUCCAGGGUUCACUGAGGUCACCAGAGGUCCUGCAAUCCUGUCUGGAUUGCAAAGCAUGGUGGCAGCACAGACUAUGGCAGAAGCUAAAGGAAAUGCUAGAGGAGCUGUUUGUUUUCCUGAUCGAAAGGAAAACUAGCUUUGAUGUAGUGAACACAAAUUAUGGAAGGCAAAUCUUGGGAGGGUGCAAAUACUGGAUUUUCAGGCAGGCUUGUCCAUGCCAAAAAAGGAUGAUGGGAGGCCAUGGACGUCCCGCUCUCUCUUCACAAAGGCGGAAAAGGAGGAGACACAGUUGCCGAUGAAGUGCUCGGCCCUGCCUAAGAUGUACAGGUCCAUUUGGGCUGAGUCUGGCUGAAGACUCACCACUUUCAGCUGGAAAAACAAAAUGCAAUACACAAAUAAACGUUUUUAAAUAACAUAUUCUCUAAGGAUCUAAACAGACAUAUUUCUCAAAAGGUGGAGUCCCCCACCACUGUGCUGAUCCAGUAAGUUCAUCCUGGUUUCCCCACAUCUUUCAAACCACUCCAGGGUCCUUAACCUCCUGAUCAAAGUGUAUUGAAUGGCUCUGACCUUAGCAGACACACAACUACAAACACACACAUAUGAAUGCUCUCAGCUUUUCUUUCUUUUUCAUUAUUUGAUUUAUGUACUUAUCUUUUUAUGUCUGUUUUUCUGGGGGGAUUUUUCUUAAUUUCUAAUUGUCUUUAUUGAUUUUUUUUGGUAUUAUUUUCUAUUACGUUGGCUCUGUAGAUACAGCUAAAUGAAAACUGAAAAACUGUUGACCCAAAUGUGAACAUGUCUGUAUAAUGAAACUGAAAUAAAAAAGUUAAAAUAA
Molecule: long non-coding RNA, 3705 nt
Organism: Eleginops maclovinus (Patagonian blennie)
Lineage: Eukaryota; Metazoa; Chordata; Actinopteri; Perciformes; Eleginopidae
Exons: 3
Source: RefSeq, a predicted model, not a curated record